Molecule: transfer RNA, 77 nt
Filed under: Clostridiales bacterium
Lineage: Bacteria; Bacillati; Bacillota; Clostridia; Eubacteriales
Also listed under: 1 other name
Description: tRNA-Arg
Rfam family: tRNA
About the family: Transfer RNA (tRNA) molecules are approximately 80 nucleotides in length. Their secondary structure includes four short double-helical elements and three loops (D, anti-codon, and T loops).
Source: RNAcentral
GCGCCAUUAGCUCAGCUGGAUAGAGCGUUGGUCUACGGAACCAAAGGUCGAGAGUUCGAAUCCCCCAUGGCGCACCA